UAUCUAUGGAAUUGAGCCGUGUAGAAUGUGAUGGAAAAGGGAAGCAAUAUGGACAAUCGCCAUACAUUAGUAAGUGCCUGAUACUUCAGUCUACAUAAUAAGUGCCAUUUGUUGGAGUCAGCAAACCCCUUUAAGACGGACGUUUCUACUGAUGUUUAUAUAGCUAUGUAGUCAGAAUGUUCAAGUGUUAAAUGCUCCGCUCGGAUGACAUUGUAUUUUUUGUGCCAUUUUUGUCUUUUUUUUUCUCUGUUACCAUAUGAUUGAUAAAGAAAGGUACGAUAUUACCAAAAAAAGUGUUUGUUACCCCAAAAAAAGUAUUGCACUCAUUUCUAGGCACUGCUGUCUCAUGGGUGACAUACAGCACAGGUUAUCAUCACAUGUAGCAGAGCUGCUUUUAUGCUGCCUUAUCUUGUGGAAAAACACAAGUAAAAGCAUUGUCCAGAGGAAUAAAGGGUUUGUUCUCUCAGGAAACAGCGCCACUCUAGUCCAUGGGAAGGGUCUGGAAUUGCAGCUCUGAAUCCGUACUGCAAUACCAGUCGCAGCCAUGGACUAGAGUGGCGCUGUUUCUGGAGAUACUUUUUUUUUAUGUAAUCCUGGACAAGGUUCUACUGUGUGGUACCAACUGACAGUCAGCUCUGCUGUAUCUGGAUAAUAGUACAGGUUUUGGGAUGCAGUGUUUCUUUGAUGCUACCUAUUGAACUGGGAUCCUGGUGGGCACACGUUUAAAUGAUGGUUAUGUUUUACGUUAUUUAUUGCUAUUGUAUAUCCGCUUCUGGGUUCACUACUUUACCCCUAAAGAGGACCUGUCACCUCUCCUGCCCUCCUGUCUGGCACAUCUACUCUUUGAACUCUGCAUUGUGCUGUUCCUCUGCUAUCCCUCCUUGAAAUUUAUGGGUAAAUGAACAACCGGGUGUGACCAUUACCAUUGCCGAAGGAGUGUUACCCUGAACAGUGUUAGCGCUGAUUAGACAUUGAACCAUUAGAAAUAACGGGUACACUGCAGAAUUCUAAGAGAAGAUGCUUCGGAAUUGUUACUUUAUGAAAAAUGUACCUGUAUCUAAGACAGAUAUGUCGGGAAGGGGGGGUGACAGGCCCUCCUUAAAGGAUUGUCUUGAAUCGGGUGUGCACAGAGACAAAACCUAAAGAGUUUCUCCACUUAAAUAAUUUUUCGGAAAAAUCUGAUUACUAGUGCAAGCUGGGACGGAGAACCUACCCUUCCAUUGCUUUUUAUUUAGUGUUACAUCUGACAGACUAGUUGCUAGGGAUACACUGCAUAACAACCACCGUUUUGACAGGACAGCACAUCCAUAGCAACCAGUCUGCCCUUGAUUGCUCUGGUUUUUAGUCCAGAGUAGGUUUACCACCUUCCUGACCAGUAGUCACCGCAGUGCCCCCACCUCUGCUGUAGUACAAAUUAUGCCCCCCCCCCCCCCCCCACUUCUCUAGUAGCGCCUCCCAACUCUUUUCCAAGUAUUUAAAUCUGGCUCCCUCCCUAGUAGUCAUGGCCGACCCCAUUGCCCCCUAGUAGUCACAACCUCCCAAGCCAGCUUCUAGGAGUCACAGCAAAUACCUCAUGUCCAGGCAGUGCGCCUUCUGCUGGAUGGAAGCUAUACACGAGCAGCCUGUUGCAUGAAGUUUCCUGUAGUCUCUGCUAGCGAAGGGGAAAUGUUUAGUGGGUCUUGUUUUGGGGUCUUAUUUUUUUUUUUCUCCGCCCUUUAUAAGGGGAAAGAACAUAGAAUACAGAGGUGUGACCAGUAUAAAAGCUGCUAUUAUUGUUACCCAUUUCGCAUUGAUACAGAGGCGGACGCCUCGUUCCGUACAUGUAGGACCAUACAGCGAUAUGCCGUCCAUAUCUACGAUGAACGGCAAUUUCAUGAACCAGUGAUUAAAUUCCAGGACGUUUUCCGUCGGAGCCGCCGCGACCCUAGGAUACGUAAUUUAGUGCGCAGAUAGUGAGCGGUAACUCUGCAAGUACUUUUAGCUUUCAGUGAAUGAAUGUAGUAGUGUGACUUAUACACUAGUCACCUCCAGAGCUGAACUCCGCAUUCUGCUGCCUGCUUCUUGGCGUUUAUUAUUAGUGUCUAUCUGCUAUAAGCGUUCACAUCACGUUUUUCCCAUCCGUUUAACGUAUACAAAAAACAUAUGUGUUAACAGAUUCCUCAGACUGAUGUCAUACAGGGGCAUCUAUUCACCAUAGAGUUCCAUUGUAAAAAAAA
Long non-coding RNA from Bufo bufo (common toad), 2216 nucleotides. RefSeq lists it as uncharacterized. The record is from RefSeq and is a predicted model, not a curated record. The transcript is spliced from 2 exons. Lineage: Eukaryota; Metazoa; Chordata; Amphibia; Anura; Bufonidae.